CCUACGGGAGGCAGCAGUGGGGAAUAUUGGGCAAUGGAGGAAACUCUGACCCAGCGACGCCGCGUGCGGGAUGAAGGCCUUCGGGUUGUAAACCGCUUUCAGCAGGGAAUAAGCGCAAGUGAAGGUACCUGCAGAAGAAGCACCGGCUAACUAUGUGCCAGCAGCCGCGGUAAUACAUAGGGUGCAAGCGUUGUCCGGAAUUAUUGGGCGUAAAGAGCUCGUAGGUGGUUUGUUACGUCGGUUGUGAAAUUCAGGGGCUCAACCCCUGACUUGCUGCCGAUACGGGCAAGCUAGAGUUUGGUAGGGGAGACUGGAAUUCCUGGUGUAGCGGUGGAAUGCGCAGAUAUCAGGAGGAACACCGAUGGCGAAGGCAGGUCUCUGGGCCAAUACUGACACUGAGGAGCGAAAGCGUGGGGAGCGAACAGGAUUAGAUACCCUGGUAGUCCACGCCGUAAACGGUGGGCGCUAGUUGUGCGAACCUUCCACGGUUUGUGCGACGCNGCUACGACAUAGCGCCCGCCGUCGGGAGGUACGANCGCAGAUAAACUACAANAGAGUAGACGGCGUGAGACGUGCCGACGGACGACGACGAGGGAGGUUAGG
RNAcentral lists this ribosomal RNA (603 nucleotides) under uncultured bacterium. RNAcentral describes it as "bacterial SSU rRNA". The stretch from base 1 to 521 matches the Rfam family "Bacterial small subunit ribosomal RNA", at positions 338 to 873 of the family's 1533-position model. The record is from RNAcentral.